AGGUCACUGCUAUCGGAGUUCGACUAAACCAUGCGAGUCGUGGGGUGCCCUUCGGGGUAACCCCGGCGGACUGCUCAGUAACACGUGGAUAACCUACCCUUGGGACGGGGAUAACCCCGGGAAACUGGGGAUAAUAUCCGAUAGGUCACAGAUGCUGGAAUGCCCUGUGGCUGAAAACCUUUCGGGGGCCCAAGGAUGGGUCUGCGGCCCAUUAGGCUGUUGUCAGUGUAAUGAACUGACAAACCUAUGAUGGGUACGGGCACUGAGAGGUGGAGCCCGGAGAUGGGUUCUGAGACAUGAACCCAGGGUCUACGGACCGCAGCAGGCGCGAAAACUUCGCAAUGUGCGAAAGCACGACGAGGGGACUCCGAGUGUCCGUACCUAGUACGGACUGUUCGGAUGUCUAAACAACAUCUGGAGUAAGGGCCGGGUAAGACAGGUGCCAGCCGCCGCGGUAACACCUGCGGCCCGAGUGGUGGCCGCUUUUAUUGGGUUUAAAGGGUCCGUAGCCGGCCUGGCAAGUCCUUUGGGAAAUCUGGCAGCCUAACUGUCAGGAGACUAAAGGAUACUACUGGGCUUGGGACCGGGUGAGGCUAGAGGUACCCCAGGGGUAGCGGUGAAAUGCUGUAAUCCUUGGGGGACCACCAGUGGCGAAGGCGUCUAGCCAGAACGGGUCCGACGGUGAGGGACGAAAGCUAGGGGCGCGAACGGGAUUAGAUACCCCGGUAGUCCUAGCCGUAAACGAUGCGAGCUUUGUGUCGGCCUCGACGCGAUCGGGGCCGGUGCCGUAGGGAAGCUGUUAAGCUCGCCACCUGGGGAGUAUGGUCGCAAGGCUGAAACUUAAAGGAAUUGGCGGGGGAGCACCACAACGGGUGGAGCCUGCGGUUCAAUUGGAUUCAACGCCGGGAACCUCACCGGGUGCGACAGUUGGAUGAAGGUCAAGCUGAAGACUUUACCAGACUAGCUGAGAGGAGGUGCAUGGCCGUCGACAGUUCGUAUCGUGAGACAUCCUGUUAAGUCAGGCAACGAGCGAGACCCGCGCCCACAGUUACCAGCUUGUGCCCCGGCACAAGGGUACUCUGCGGGGACCGCCUCUGCUAAAGAGGAGGAAGGAGCGGGCUACGGUAGGUCAGUAUGCCCCGAAUCUCCCGGGCUACACGCGGGUUACAAUGGUUGGGACAAUGGGACUCGACCCCGAGAGGGGAAGGUAAUCUCCUAAACUCAACCCAAGUACAGAUUGAGGGCUGCAACUCGCCCUCAUGAAGCUGGAAUCCGUAGUAAUCGCAGUUCAACAUACUGCGGUGAAUACGUCCCUGCUCCUUGCACACACCGCCCGUCAAACCACCCGAGCGGGGUCUGAAUGAGGCUCUUGCAUCAGCAAGAAUCGAAUUUAGGUUCUGUAAGGGGGGUU
This 1411-nucleotide ribosomal RNA is filed under the name uncultured archaeon. RNAcentral's name for it is "bacterial SSU rRNA". It matches the Rfam family "Archaeal small subunit ribosomal RNA". The record is from RNAcentral.